AGGUGUGAUCAUACAAGCACUAAUCCACCGGAACACUUUAGAACUGUGAAGUUAAGCAUGCUUGAGUGAGAGUAGUACUAAGAUGGGUGACCUCCUGCGAAGUCCUCGUGUUACACCUU
Non-coding RNA from Lupinus angustifolius (narrow-leaved blue lupine), 119 nucleotides. The record is from Rfam. NCBI's taxonomy places the organism in Eukaryota, Viridiplantae, Streptophyta, Magnoliopsida, Fabales, Fabaceae.